GCACGGAUUGGGUCUCCGGGUUCACCGUCACAAUACGCUUCUUCCCAUAAGUUUACACUUUCAGUUUCGAAAAAACCCAUAUUCGAGGUGGUAUUAAUUUUUUGCUUAGGUAAUUUUCGGUUUCCCGUGAAUUUACGUCCUAAUUGUUGAGCCUACAAACGAAGCAGCCCAUAUGUUCUUUGCCGCUGCAUGCCUUCCAGCCCAUCGUUUGUUUGUUCUUUGCGCUCAAGUUUUGUACAUUGCCGGCCUGCAUCUCUUUUUCUCAAAAAAAAAAGACCUAGCUCGAUUUCUUCCAUAACAUGUACUCCGUAGCUGUGUUGAGAAUCUUUCUUCCAUCAAAUAAUUUACCUUUUGUGCCAGAUACGACACACAGCAGGCCUUAGCUGCGCCAGAUCACCUCCCGUGCCUCGGCCACAGGCCUGCCGCCAGGAGUCCCAUAUGCAGCCGUAGUUGGCCGACGAACGCAACGCACCAUCACGAACGCGACGCACCAUCUCAACUCCAAUCAACGCCCGCCAGAUCUGGCGAGCAACCGAGCCGUCCCUUCAGCCAUCCACCGGAGAGCUCCACCACCACGGCACAGGGUUGUUGCCCCAACCGCAGCAGCCCCGUCGCCACCACCGCCGUCGCAGGCCUAGCCGAGGCAGGUGGGCCGCGGGACGAGGCGUUGGACGCCUCCUCGGGGUCAACACGAACAGACGAAGCGGCGCGGGAUCUAGGCCGGACCAGGGGGCAUUCGCAGGUCGCGGAGGCCGUGGACGUACGAAUCGGGCCAGAUUCGAGGCUGCUGGCACAGGGAUCUUAUGGUUCCUCACCGACAGUGGGUUGCUACCCUGGGCCAGCCACCACCACGGCUGCACGCACUCCAGGAGAGUGGGGAGGCGAGGCCAAGUUGUUCGUGGGCGCGCUGGAUAGGGGUGGAUGAAGAAGAGGAGGAAUGGUGAUGUGUGUUGUGUAUGGAUGGAUAAGAGGCACGCAGUGUGGGCGUCAGUGGAUGUUGUUGGUUGCUGCACCGAGCGGAAC
Molecule: ribosomal RNA, 1023 nt
Filed under: Triticum aestivum (bread wheat)
Lineage: Eukaryota; Viridiplantae; Streptophyta; Magnoliopsida; Poales; Poaceae
Description: partial small subunit ribosomal RNA
Source: RNAcentral